UAAUCGCGGAUCAGCAUGCCGCGGUGAAUGCGUUCCCGGGCCUUGUACACACCGCCCGUCACACCACCCGAGUCGUCUGCACCCGAAGCCGCCGGCCCAACCCGCGAGGGGGGGGGAGGCGUCGAAGGUGUGGAGGGUGAGGGGGGUGAAGUCGUAACAAGGUAGCCGUACGGGAACGUGCGGCUGGAUCACCUCCUUUCUAGGGAGA
RNAcentral lists this ribosomal RNA (208 nucleotides) under Collinsella tanakaei. RNAcentral's name for it is "partial 16S ribosomal RNA". It matches the Rfam family "Bacterial small subunit ribosomal RNA", at positions 1339 to 1533 of the family's 1533-position model. The record is from RNAcentral. Lineage: Bacteria; Bacillati; Actinomycetota; Coriobacteriia; Coriobacteriales; Coriobacteriaceae.